RNAcentral lists this long non-coding RNA (1331 nucleotides) under Prunus persica (peach). RNAcentral's name for it is "long non-coding RNA (PPER_LNC001302)". The record is from RNAcentral. Lineage: Eukaryota; Viridiplantae; Streptophyta; Magnoliopsida; Rosales; Rosaceae.
GUGGAGAGAAUUUAGAGACAGAUAAAAUAUAGGAUCAAUUCUUAUAACUCAAAUCUUAUUCAAUCUUAUAUUACAAAAGGGAUUGUGAACCCAUUUAGGGCAUGUUUGGUAGGCCUCACUAUGCCUCACUGGACUGGAUUGUGUUAAAUAACACUUAAAACCCAUGUUUGGUAAGAAAGGGGAUUAACUUAAAUGAGACUGCAUAGUCCAACAGUGAAAAAAUAACCGGACUCGCAUGUCUAAUUCAGUGAGCCCCAAAUGCAGUUCGCAAAAUAGCACCAUCGCUAUUUUGAACACACGAGUCCGGCUGGAUUUCCUUACGUCUUGAAUCAAAACACCACCACCACAGACCCAAUCGACAGACUCUGGCAAUGCCCAGCUCUCCCUCUUCUCCCCCGAAUUUGUUCUCCCUCAUGACCACCACUCGCAAGCCACACACAGACCCAUCUCUCUUCGCCACCACAGCCACCCGCAAAACCCAGAACUAUCUCUCUUGGCCAUCUCUGUCAGACCACCACCAUCAAACCCAUAGCCAGUCGCCAGAGACCCAAUCGAACCAUCAUCACCACCCAAUCAGUCAAACAAAGCAUCAUCACCACCCAUAAACAGCCACCACAUACUCAGUUCAACAACCAUCAUCACCUAAUUAAACCACCACAACCAUUAAUUAGUGGAACCAGAAAGAGAGAGGGGUGAGUGUUUGCAGCCACCACAUAUCCAGAAGUGGAUAUGACUCUCUUAAAAGUUGGGGUGCAGCAUGAAGAGAGAGUGAAAAGGAAUGAAGGAAGAAGAAAAGAGAGGAAAGAAUAGAAAGAAAAAAAGAAAUAGAAGGAACGGCUUGGAAAGGAAGAAAGAAAAAAAAAAAAAAAGAGGCUUUGGAAGGAAUAAGAAAGGAGGAAGAAAGAAACGGGCCAGAGAUAAGGAAGAAGAAGAAAAGUCAAUGGGGAGAAGAGGAAGAAAGAAAAGAAGAAGAAAAAAAGAAAAAGAUAAUAUAGUUUGAAGUGCGUGGUUUAAUUGUUUGUUUGACCAGAGAUAAGAUAAUAAACCACCACAUACUUACUUAUUUGUUUUCUUUUUAUUUAUUUUUAGGUAAAAAAAGCCUUAAUUAAAAUUAAAUAUUAGAAUUUUAUUAAUUAAAAUUAAAUAUUAAAAUAAUUAUUUUUAGUCCGACACAACUCCAAACAUAGGUCUUCACUAUUUUUACAAUCCAGCUUCUUAGUCCGACCCAACACCAAACGUAGGUCAGUACUUAAUCCAGCUUAGGCCAACCCGAGCUAAUCCGAGAUAGUCUGAGGAUUUAAUCCAGUUCAUAACAGUCCACCGUACCAAAC